This 400-nucleotide ribosomal RNA is filed under the name uncultured bacterium. RNAcentral describes it as "bacterial SSU rRNA". It matches the Rfam family "Bacterial small subunit ribosomal RNA", at positions 355 to 746 of the family's 1533-position model. The record is from RNAcentral.
UGGGGAAUAUUGCGCAAUGGGCGAAAGCCUGACGCAGCAACGCCGCGUGAGUGAAGAAGGCCUUCGGGUUGUAAAGCUCUUUCGGUUGGGAAGAAGGGUGUAAUAGUGAAUAAUUAUUACAUUUGAUGGUACCAAAAGAAGAAGCACCGGCAAACUUCGUGCCAGCAGCCGCGGUAAUACGAAGGGUGCAAGCGUUGUUCGGAAUUAUUGGGCGUAAAGGGUUCGUAGGCGGGACUGAAAGUCAAGUGUGAAAUCUUCGAGCUUAACUCGAAACGUGCAUUUGAAACUCCAGUUCUUGAGUCACAGAGAGGGUAAUGGAAUUGUUGGUGUAGGAGUGACAUCCGUAGAGAUCAACAGGAACAUCAGAGGCGAAAGCGGUUACCUGGCUGUGCACUGACGC